Molecule: ribosomal RNA, 241 nt
Filed under: uncultured bacterium
Lineage: Bacteria
Description: partial 16S ribosomal RNA
Rfam family: Bacterial small subunit ribosomal RNA
Source: RNAcentral
GAUCAUGGCUCAGGAUGAACGCUAGCUACAGGCUUAACACAUGCAAGUCGAGGGGAAACGACAUCGAAAGCUUGCUUCCGAUGGGCGUCGACCGGCGCACGGGUGAGUAACGCGUAUCCAACCUGCCCACCACUUGGGGAUAACCUUGCGAAAGUAAGACUAAUACCCAAUGAUAUCUCUAGAAGACAUCUGAAAGAGAUUAAAAGAUUUAUCGGUGAUGGAUGGGGAUGCGUCUGAUUAG